AAAACCAAAGCAUUUAGAGCAAAUCUGACAGAGGUUAAAUGGUUUAUCAGGUCAAGAUCUAUCUGCCCUGAAAUUUUCAGAUGAAUCAGACAACCCAUUGUUAGGUUGCUGCCUUGAAUUGGUUAUUUUAAGGAAAUUUUUGCUGUUUUUGGUUAUUAUCAUGAAUAUUAUUAUAGAUAGAGAUAAACUAUAAACAGCAAAAAUGUUCAACAAAGAAAGAUUUACAAAUAAGUCAACAUGACCAAAAUGGUCAGUUGACCCCUUUAGGAGUUAUGGCCCUUUAUAGUCAAUUUUUAACCAUUUUCCGUAAAUCUUAGUUAUCUUUUACAAAAACCUUCUCUUCUGAAACUACUGGGCCAAAUUAUUCCUAACUUAGCCACAAUCAUCAUUGGGGUAUUAAGUUUUAAAAAUUGUGUCCGGUGACCCGGCCAACCAACCAAGAUGGCCACCAUGGCUAAAAAUAGAACAUAGGGGUAAAAUCAGUUUUUGGCUUAUAACUCAAAACCAAAGCAUUUAGAGCAAAUCUGACUGAGGUUAAAUGAUUUAUCAGGUCAAGAUCUAUCUGGCCUGAAAUUUUCAGAUGAAUCGGACAACCCAUUGUUGGGUUGCUGCCCCUGAAUUGGUAAUAUUAAGGAAAUUUCGCUGGUUUUGGUUAUUAUCUUGAAUAUUAUUAUAGAUAGAGAUAAACUAUAAACAGUAAUAAUGUACAGCAAAGUAAAACUUAAAUAAGUCAUCAUGACCAAAAAGGUCAAUUGACCCCUUAAGGAGUUAUUGCCCUUUAUAGUCAAUUUUUAACAAUUUAAAAUUUGUAAAUUUUCACUAACAUUAUCUACUGUAACUACUGGGCCAAGUUCAUUAUAGAGAUAAUUGCAAGCAGCAAGAAUGUUCAGUAAAGUAAGAUCUACAAACAUAUCACCAUCACAAAAACACAAUUUUGUUAUGAAUCCAUCUGUGUCCUUUGUUAAGUAUUCACAUAGACCAAGGUGAGCGACACAGGCUCUUUAGAGCCUCUAGUUUUUAUAAAGUUGCGAUAUAGUGUGGGCCGAUUGGCAAGUGGGACGAGUUGACAUUGUUUGAUAUCUACUCAUCAUGUUCGGGGGUCAUAAAGAGUAUACAUCAUAUAGUAAUAUAUAAAGUAUAUGAUAAAGGUUGUGUGGCAUUCUAAACUAGAUUUUAUGAAUUGUAAAUGUUUUUUCGUCUAAUCUUAAACAG
RNAcentral lists this long non-coding RNA (1212 nucleotides) under Mytilus galloprovincialis (Mediterranean mussel). Lineage: Eukaryota; Metazoa; Mollusca; Bivalvia; Mytilida; Mytilidae. The record is from RNAcentral.